GAUGAACGCUAGCGGCAGGCCUAAUACAUGCAAGUCGAACGGUGUCUUCGGACAUAGUGGCGCACGGGUGCGUAACACGUAUGCAACCUACCUUACAUUGGGGGAUAGCCUUUCGAAAGGGAGAUUAAUACCGCAUAAGACAGUAGCUGGGCAUCCAGCAGCUGUUAAAGAUUUAUCGAUGUAAGAUGGGCAUGCGUCCAAUUAGUUAGUUGGCGAGGUAAUGGCUCACCAAGACUUUGAUUGGUAGGGGAACUGAGAGGUCAAUCCCCCACACUGGCACUGAGAUACGGGCCAGACUCCUACGGGAGGCAGCAGUAGGGAAUAUUGGGCAAUGGACGCAAGUCUGACCCAGCCAUGCCGCGUGCAGGAUGAAGGCGUUAUGCGUUGUAAACUGCUUUUAUACAGGAAGAAACGACUCUUGCGAGAGGCAUUGACGGUACUGUAUGAAUAAGCACCGGCUAACUCCGUG
Molecule: ribosomal RNA, 469 nt
Filed under: uncultured bacterium
Lineage: Bacteria
Description: bacterial SSU rRNA
Rfam family: Bacterial small subunit ribosomal RNA
Source: RNAcentral